GUGGGCUCGGCUGAGGGGGAAGAUUCAGGCUGGGUUGGGCCGGUGGUUAGCUAGUCUUCCACUGAUUUCCUAGGCCCAGGUGAAGUAGGUUCUCAAUACGUGUGUUUUGACUGACUGACGAUGGCAAACGGCAGGUUGAGUAGGUAAGUGGGGAUGGAAGCAGAAAGUGAGGAGAUUUUGUCAGCAAAUAAAAACUGACUAGAAAUCUUAGAGGUGAACAGUUCUUAGUGGUGGGAAAACCCAAGCUGGGGCUAAAGUGUGAUGGAGUUGAAAGUGAGAGCAGUUGAGAAAUUUUGUGGUCCUCAUCAUGGGUGAUUCUGUUAUUGAGGAUUAUGGCCAAUGAUUGGGGAGAGUAACUGUGUCUCAAGUAUCUGAACAAAGUGUUUGGAGGUGACACAGACAUGAAAUAGAAAUGGAAAAGAGGAUGUAGGGAGCAUGAAGUGUGAAGUCCUGGCUCUGUUUUAAGGGGCAGUCUGGGCAAGUCCCACAUCCAUUCUGGACCUCUGUAUUCGAGUUAAUAAUGUUUUUCUACUUCCUUUUCAGAGUUGUUGGAAGCUUAUAUGAGAUACAGUGAUAUGUAUGUAAAAGUCACUUUGAAAGUUUAGAUAAUCUCUAAGGGCUGUCCUAGUUUUGAGAUCAUGCAACACAACUAUUCUAGUUAUUACAACAUAUCAAUGUUGUAGAGAUGUCAUAAAAUAUCUACGUAGGAUAAAGCCACAAUUUCACUUGAAAGAAAAAUACCUAAAACCAGUACUCUAGCACAAGUAGCCAAACAACCAUUAAGCUAAAUGACUUCUAUCUCUGAAAUUAAUAGGUCAACUUUGGGCAAGAUAAUUCUAAUAUUUUUUUUUUCUUUCAUAGAGCACAUGUUGGCACCUUUUGAAAGAUCCAGAAAUCUGCAUGUGGGACACAAAUCUUGGGCUCUAUUGCUGUAAAUGCACCUUCCACAAAUGGUUUUCUGUAAUACCCAUUUCUCAGGAGUGGUCAUUGUGGACAAAAGAAGAGAAUUGGAUCAAUGGGAGGCAUUACAAAGAGAAAGUUAAAAAGAAAGUUUGCACUUGGGAAAACAGUGUGGAGCCUCCUCAAAAGACUAAAAAAUAGUAGCACCAUAGGAUCCAGUCAUUCCACUUCUGGGUAUUUCCUCAAAGAAACUGAAGACACCAAUUUGAAAAGAUACAUGCACCCCCAUGUUUAUUGCAGCAUUAUUCCCAAUAGCCAAGAUACAAAAGCAACCUAAGUGUCCACCGAUAGAUAAAUGGACAAAGAAGAUGUGGUGUAUUUCUCUGAUGAAAUAUUAUUCAGCCAUAAAAAAGAAUGAAAUCUUGCCAUGUAGGACAACAUGGAUGCAACUAGAGGGUACUAUGUUAAGUGAAAUAAGUCAGACAAAGACAAAUACUGCCUCAUCUCACUUAUAUGUGGACUCUAAAAAACAAAACAAAUGGAUAAACAAAUACCAACAAACAAAAACAGACUUGUAAAUACAGAGAACAAACUGGUGGUUGCCAGAGGGGAAGGGGGUGGGGGGGAUGGACAAAAUAGGUGAAGGGGAUUAAGAGGUACAAACUUCCUGUUAUAAAAUAAAUAAGUCAUGAGGAUGACAAGUCCAGCAUAGGGAAUAUUGUCAAUAAUAUUGUAAGAACUUUGCAUGGUGGUUAGACUUAUGGUGAUCAUUUUGAAAUAUAUACAAAUGUUGAACCACUGUGUUGUAUACCUAAAACCAAUAUUAAAUGUCAACUGAACUAACAACAACAACAAAAAAACCUAAAAGGAAAAGUUGCUACUUUGGCCUUGAAUAUCAUAUCUAUUUCUUACGAGUGGGAAGGGAAUAUUAAAUUAGCCCAGUGGGGAAACUGGGAGCAUAAUGAGUUUAUUAUUUUUUCUGAAACAGUUGAGAUAUUCAGUCUGUUCAUCCUAGUCUCCUCAUCUGUAAGACGGUCAAAAUAUUUGGGGAGUGUUUUGGGGACUUUAUGCCUGGCCUCCAUAGAUUCUCCCUCUACUUUUCUGGGUUUUUCAGGUGUGUUUUAAUUUGUGGGAGCUGAAAGGGAUACUGAACACUGGUAACCAAGGCCUCUCAAAUGCCGUGACUGAGAAGGCAGUGGGGCAAGGUCGGGAGAGUGGGGUAUAGAGCCGGGUGCAGAGAGAGGGAGAAAGAGAAGAUACCAAGAAAUUUUACGAGCACUCUGACCUGGAAAGAAUCAGUUCGACUAGUAGUUUCAGUCUUUUUUUGCUCAUGUACUCCAUGAAAGAAUUCUGAAAGAUUCUUUUUGAGUUGACAUCUAAACUUUUUUAUCAUAAAUUUAAGUAGUUGCAAAGUAUGUAUUAGAUGAAGUACUGAAUAUCAUAUCAAUGAUUAAAAUAUAUUUUCAUCAAAACUUUGGAGCUGCAGAUUUAGCUCAUUAAAUUUAUGGAGAGUGUCCAUCAUAGAAAUUAAUUGGCAAAGCUAGUCCUUAUUGUCAACCCAUUCUGCCAAAUUGGACUUGCUUCAUGUCAGAAAAAAAAAAUCUCACUUCAUUUUUUAAUUCAGAGAAGUGUUAGCAUGCAACCCUUUGAAAUCUUCUUGCUCCUGAACUCUGACUCUUAAGAAGUGAAGGAAGGCGGUCUUACAUUCAUUACAUCCUAAAUAAACUAGACAGAAUAUAAAGUUAAAAAAAAAAAGUGAAGGAAGAAAAGAAGGAAGUGAGGGGAAGGAAGAAGGAACAAAAGAGGCUAACCAUGAGUUUUUCACCUGCCUUCCAUAUUCCUUUCUGAAGCUCACUUGCUCUUCUCUCAAAGGACUGUCCUUCAGGAAGAAUCCAUGAAAGUUUUGACACCCCAGGACAAUGCACCUGAGUAGGACCGAGGUGGGUGAAGGGUAUGCAUUUCUUGCAAAGUCGGAAAAGGACUACUGGAGAUAGAAAGAGUCCUUGUGGCAUGAUCUUAGACAAAUUAAUUUCAGGAAAGAGGACA
Molecule: long non-coding RNA, 2946 nt
Organism: Mirounga angustirostris (Northern elephant seal)
Lineage: Eukaryota; Metazoa; Chordata; Mammalia; Carnivora; Phocidae
Exons: 3
Source: RefSeq, a predicted model, not a curated record